UACGGAGGAUGCGAGCGUUAUCCGGAUUUAUUGGGUUUAAAGGGUGCGCAGGCGGCGUGUCAAGUCAGCGGUAAAAUGUCGAGGCUCAACCCCGGACGGCCGUUGAAACUGGCGUGCUCGAGUUGGAGAGAAGUAUGCGGAAUUCGUGGUGUAGCGGUGAAAUGCAUAGAUAUCACGAAGAACCCCGAUUGCGAAGGCAGCAUACCGGCUCCACACUGACGCUGAGGCACGAAAGCGUGGGUAUCGAACAGG
This 252-nucleotide ribosomal RNA is filed under the name uncultured bacterium. Its description in RNAcentral is "partial 16S ribosomal RNA". It matches the Rfam family "Bacterial small subunit ribosomal RNA", at positions 524 to 776 of the family's 1533-position model. The record is from RNAcentral.